This 496-nucleotide ribosomal RNA is filed under the name uncultured bacterium. RNAcentral's name for it is "partial 16S ribosomal RNA". It matches the Rfam family "Bacterial small subunit ribosomal RNA", at positions 29 to 507 of the family's 1533-position model. The record is from RNAcentral.
AUGAACGCUGGCGGCGUGCCUAAUCCAUGCAAGUAGAACGCUGAAGCUUGGUGCUUGCACCGAGCGGAUGAGUUGCGAACGGGUGAGUAACGCGUAGGUAACCUGCCUCUUAGCGGGGGAUAACUAUUGGAAACGAUAGCUAAUACCGCAUAAAAGUCGAUAUCGCAUGAUAUUGAUUUGAAAGGUGCAAAUGCAUCACUAAGAGAUGGACCUGCGUUGUAUUAGCUAGUUGGUGAGGUAACGGCUCACCAAGGCGACGAUACAUAGCCGACCUGAGAGGGUGAUCGGCCACACUGGGACUGAGACACGGCCCAGACUCCUACGGGAGGCAGCAGUAGGGAAUCUUCGGCAAUGGGGGCAACCCUGACCGAGCAACGCCGCGUGAGUGAAGAAGGUUUUCGGAUCGUAAAGCUCUGUUGUAAGAGAAGAACGAGUGUGAGAGUGGAAAGUUCACACUGUGACGGUAACUUACCAGAAAGGGACGGCUAACUACGUG